This 403-nucleotide ribosomal RNA is filed under the name Verrucomicrobiota bacterium. RNAcentral's name for it is "Verrucomicrobia bacterium partial 16S ribosomal RNA". It matches the Rfam family "Bacterial small subunit ribosomal RNA", at positions 355 to 776 of the family's 1533-position model. Lineage: Bacteria; Pseudomonadati; Verrucomicrobiota. The record is from RNAcentral.
UGGGGAAUAUUGCACAAUGGGGGAAACCCUGAUGCAGCGACGCCGCGUGAGCGAAGAAGGCUUUCGAGUCGUAAAGCUCUGUCCUAUGAGAAGAUAAUGACGGUAUCAUAGGAGGAAGCCCUGGCUAAUUACGUGCCAGCAGCCGCGGUAAUACGUAAGGUCCGAGCGUUGUCCGGAAUCAUUGGGCGUAAAGGGUACGUAGGCGGGUAAGCAAGUUAGAAGUGAAAUCCUGUAGCUCAACUACAGUAAGCUUUUAAAACUGCUCAUCUUGAGAUAUGGAAGGGAAAGUGGAAUUCCUAGUGUAGCGGUGAAAUGCGCAGAUAUUAGGAGGAAUACCGGUGGCGAAGGCGACUUUCUGGCCAUAAUCUGACGCUGAGGUACGAAAGCGUGGGUAGCAAACAGG